RNAcentral lists this ribosomal RNA (252 nucleotides) under uncultured bacterium. Its description in RNAcentral is "partial 16S ribosomal RNA". It matches the Rfam family "Bacterial small subunit ribosomal RNA", at positions 524 to 776 of the family's 1533-position model. The record is from RNAcentral.
UACAGAGGGUGCGAGCGUUAAUCGGAAUUACUGGGCGUAAAGGGUGCGUAGGCGGUUAAAUAAGUUAGAUGUGAAUCCCCAGGCUUAACCUGGGAACUGCGUUUAAUACUGUAUAACUAGAGUACUGAAGAGGUUAGUGGAAUUUCCAGUGUAGCGGUGAAAUGCGUAGAUAUUGGAAGGAACACCAGUGGCGAAGGCGACUAAUUGGUCAGAUACUGACGCUGAGGCACGAAAGCGUGGGGAGCAAACAGG